RNAcentral lists this ribosomal RNA (682 nucleotides) under Pseudoxanthomonas taiwanensis. RNAcentral's name for it is "bacterial SSU rRNA". It matches the Rfam family "Bacterial small subunit ribosomal RNA", at positions 51 to 720 of the family's 1533-position model. Lineage: Bacteria; Pseudomonadati; Pseudomonadota; Gammaproteobacteria; Lysobacterales; Lysobacteraceae. The record is from RNAcentral.
ACACAUGCAAGUCGAACGGCAGCGGGUAGGAAGCUUGCUUCCUAUGCCGGCGAGUGGCGGACGGGUGAGGAGCACAUCGGAAUCUACUCCGUCGUGGGGGAUAACGUAGGGAAACUUACGCUAAUACCGCAUACGACCUAAGGGUGAAAGUGGGGGACCGCAAGGCCUCACGCGAUGGAAUGAGCCGAUGUCCGAUUAGCUAGUUGGCGGGGUAAAGGCCCACCAAGGCGACGAUCGGUAGCUGGUCUGAGAGGAUGAUCAGCCACACUGGGACUGAGACACGGCCCAGACUCCUACGGGAGGCAGCAGUGGGGAAUAUUGGACAAUGGGCGAAAGCCUGAUCCAGCCAUGCCGCGUGGGUGAAGAAGGCCUUCGGGUUGUAAAGCCCUUUUGUUGGGGAAGAAAUCCUGCUGGCUAAUACCCGGCGGGGAUGACGGUACCCAAAGAAUAAGCACCGGCUAACUUCGUGCCAGCAGCCGCGGUAAUACGAAGGGUGCAAGCGUUACUCGGAAUUACUGGGCGUAAAGCGUGCGUAGGUGGUGGCUUAAGUCCGUUGUGAAAGCCCUGGGCUCAACCUGGGAAUUGCAGUGGAUACUGGGUCACUAGAGUGUGGUAGAGGGUGGCGGAAUUCCCGGUGUAGCAGUGAAAUGCGUAGAGAUCGGGAGGAACACCCGUGGCGAAG